This 252-nucleotide ribosomal RNA is filed under the name uncultured bacterium. RNAcentral's name for it is "partial 16S ribosomal RNA". It matches the Rfam family "Bacterial small subunit ribosomal RNA", at positions 524 to 776 of the family's 1533-position model. The record is from RNAcentral.
UACAGAGGUCCCAAGCGUUGUUCGGAUUUACUGGGCGUAAAGGGUGCGUAGGUGGCGGGGUAAGUCUGGUGUGAAAGCUCCGAGCUCAACUUGGAAAAGCAUUGGAAACUAUCCCGCUUGAGGGUCGAAGGGGAGACUGGAAUUCUCGGUGUAGCAGUGAAAUGCGUAGAUAUCGAGAGGAACACCAGUGGCGAAGGCGAGUCUCUGGACGACUCCUGACACUGAGGCACGAAAGCUAGGGGAGCAAACAGG